AUUGCGAGCUUCUGAAAGUUUGAGAUACUCCAGCUACCUAGAACAGUUAGAAUAGAAAUAUGGUGGCUACCAGUAAAGGUGAAGUUGAUCAGGUUGCAGAAGUAGAACCACAUUAUGAUCGACAGAGUGAACUACAAGCAUUUGAUGAAACCAAGGCUGGUGUUAAAGGGCUUGUUGAUGCUGGCAUUACCAAGGUGCCUCGGAUAUUCAUUCAACCGCAAUGUAGCUUAGAUGACGGUCUCAAUGGCACCAAAGGAAUCUUCAAAUUUCCUGUCAUCGAUCUGGAUGGUAUUGAUACAGAUCCAGCCAGGCGCAAAGAGAUAGUUGACAAGGUUAGAGAUGCAUCAGAAACAUGGGGUUUCUUUAACGUGGUAAAUCAUGGAAUUCCUUUCAGUGUCCUGGAGGAGAUGAUUCAAGGCGCGCGUAGAUUUUUCGAGCAAGAUACUGAGGUUAAGAAACAGUGGUAUACAAGGGAUUAUACAAAAACAGUGGUGUACAACUGCAACUUUGAUUUACACAUUUCACCAGUAGCCAACUGGAGGGAUACAUGUUAUUGCUACAUGGCUCCUAAUCCUCCAGCUCCAGAAGAAUUGCCUGAUGCUUGCAGGUAGAUUUCUCAGGGAUCUUCUUUUCUUUGCCUUGUAUGACAAGUGUGGUCUGAAAAUUACUAGAAUAAGGGCCAGUGGCCACUAUUCUGGUGAUUAGAUGGUAGUAUUAAUUGACAAUGAAUCUUUAAGACAUAUCUAAUUUCUAGUUAUGAAGUGGAAAAAGAUUGAGCUGCUGGAAGUUAUAGUUAACUUAAAUCAACUCUUGUUCCUGUUAAACUAUAUCUGAUUACUCAUUUGAUGAAUUCGACUACAGUGAAAUCGUGAUAGAAUACUCAAAGCUAGUGAUGAAGUUAGGCUGCUUAUUGCUCGAAUUUCUGUCAGAGGGCCUUGGACUCAAUCUAAGCUACCUCAAAGACAUUGAUUGUGCAGAGGGGCUUGCUGUACUAUGCCAUUACUAUCCACCGUGUCCACAGCCAGAACUUACCUUAGGCACCAGCAAGCAUUCUGACAACGGCUUCAUCACAGUCCUCCUCCCAAGGCAAUUUAGGUGGAGUUCAAGUACUUCAUCAAAAUCAGUGGAUUGAUGUUCCUUCUACACCUGGAGCUUUAGUGAUCAACAUCGGAAAUCUUUUGCAGGCGAGCCUGUGAUUUAUUGAUUUCCUGUUUUGUACUGCUAUAUUCUUGAAAUAAGGUUGUAACAAACAAGUGCAUUAUGAUGUGGCCAGUUAUGACAUCAUUUCCAUUGUUUCGGUUGGUAAAUUUUUAGUCUUUGGUUGUGAAUUAUAUACUCAUAUCUAAUGACAAGUAAACCUAGAAUUUUGGCUAACAGAGUCAGUCCUAGAGUAUCAGUAGCAAGCUUUUUAGCUACCGGUCCAAGGCCAAUAACAAAGGUUUAUGGACCUAUCAAGGAGUUGUUAUCAGAUGACAAUCCACCUAAAUAUCGAGCAACAACAGUGAAGGAAUAUACAGAUUACUUCCGUGCCAAAGGGCUUGAUGGCACUAAUGCCCUUCUGCAUUUCAAGCUUUAAACAUGUGAACAAAACAACAAAGAUUAGCCCGUGAAUUUCUAAAGAAUGAGAUUAUGUCUAUAAUAAAGAUUGUCACUUCACAGAAACUGCCCACUUUGUGUGCUCUAGUAACUGGCAAAAUAAAUUGCUGUUUGAGUCAAAUAAAAAAGUUUCUAGUUUCCAAGAGUUUUUUGGAGUUUAUAUCAAGUUCAUAGUAUUGAGUUUCUUUCUCUCAACCGUACUUGUACUUGUCUGUUACCCUAUCCAGACACAUUUAAAAAAAAAAAAAAAAUUUACAGCAGGCUGGGAUUUAAGAAGCGGGGAGAGGAGCAGAGGAUUUGAACCCAGGAUUCUUUUUUCUAUUAAACCAUAGACAUCGUGAUCCUUAAAUCCGCAUCUGCUUUUUGACAUAUAAAUUGCAUUUUGUGUGCGCGGGGGGAUGCAUUGCUUUCAGGCCAUAUCAAUGACGAGUUUUCACUGUAGAGCAUAGUGUAAUGGCAAAUAACAUUGGUCGAAGAAUAUCAGCGGCAUGCUUUUUCUUUAACAUUGAUAUAUGGCCUUUUGCAAUAUUACAUGGACCGAUUGAGGACUUACUAACAGAAGAGAAUCCAAGAAAGCACAGGGCAACUACCAUGAAAGAUUAUGUGAUUUACUUCAACAACAAGAGACUUGAUGGAACUUCUGCGCUGUCGCAUUUCAGGCUUUAGACUAGAAAAAGGAUUCAGUAAUUAGUAAAUUAUAUGCAGCGUUUAUGUGCGCAAGAUUGUUAAAACUCUUUAGGCUUCUUUUUCAUCCUGAAAUAGUAAAUUUUGAAUGGGCAUGACCUUAUCAAAUUCGUUUCAGACAUCACUUUCCCUCCUCUCUUCAGAUUUUCUUGGUAUGCAGACUUCCUUUGGCUUUAUUUCACUUUGAUGUAUAAUAAAUUACUCUAUUCUAUCUAACUUGUAGCAGCUAUACAAUCUCUUCACGGCAACAUGCUAAAUCUCGGAAACAGCAUAAAAGAUUGUUUACUUGUGCAUUUUUACCUGCUCCCAUUAUUAAAUUUGUAGCUACUGCUACUUUAUGUGCAUGAUCUUUUCUCAUGAUCACGACAAAAGCCAAUAACUUCAAUGACGUGGUAGCCCCCAUUAGGCACAAAUAUGAGCCUGAGAAACUGAAACCUUGUUAAAAGUUGAAGAAACUUCCCAAAGCAAAGAAAAAUGGGGGCAACCAGCAAAGAUGAAGUUGCAGUUGAUGGUGCAGUGGAAUCUCAAUAUGAUCAAGAGAAGGAAAUACGAGCAUUUGAUGAAACCAAGGCCGGGGUUAAAGGGCUUGUUGAUGCCGGCAUUAACAAGUUGCCUCGAAUGUUCAUUCAUCGGGAAAGUGGCUCGGAGAAGAGUAUCAGUGCCUGGAAAGGAACUUUUAGCAUUUCAGUGAUUGAUCUGGAAGGUAUGGAUAAGGAUCCAGUAAGGCGCAAAGAGAUAGUUGACAAGGUUAGAGAUGCAUCUGAAAGAGGGGGUUUUUUCCAGGUGGUAAAUCAUGGAAUUCAAGUCAGUGUUCUGGAGGAGAUGAUACAAGGUGCACGAAGAUUUUUCGAGCAAGAUACUGAGGUUAAGAAGAAGUGGUAUACAAGGGAUCGUACAAAAAGGGUGGUGUACAACUGCAACUUUGAUCUGUAUAGUCCAACAGCAGCUAACUGGAGGGAUACAGCUUAUUGCUUCAUGGCUCCUAAUCCACCAGCUCCAGAGGAAUUGCCAGACGUUUGCAGGUAUUUUUUUGGCUGAACUCUUUUUUUUUUUCUUCAAAUGCAAAUAUUUUGUAUAAAUUAUAAAUUUUUUAGCUGUAACAAGAAACUUACCUAUUCUUGAUAUUUGGAAGAGCUUUAGUGAAAAUGAAUCCUUUGGUUUGAUUUACCAAAUCCAUGGGUUUAGUCAUUGGCACAAAAUUGAGCAUCUUAACUUUUUUUUUUUAACACCACCAUAAUGAUAAGUAGAAGGAAGAACAGUGGACUUUCUCUCGCAAUUGCAGUGAAUGCCAUUCAUAUCCAAGAUUUAGUCACAUCAGCUCAGUCCGAUUUGGGCUAAUCAUUUCAUUUUUUUUUUGAUUUAGAAAUAAAUGACGUAGAUGGGACCGAGCUUAUGUAGUGCGAUUGCACCUGCAAAAUUUGCCACCCCCUCCACCUAGGCUGCUGGUUUUAGGGAGUCCAAUAGUUGUAGCAGAGUAUUAACCACUAGGCUAUACUGCUUGUAGGUAAUUGCUUGUAUCCUAAUCACCUAGUUGAUAGCUGGUAUUAAAAGAUCUUUGAUUCUUUCUAUGGUUUUAAAUUUUGUGAUAAUGUCAAAAACGAAUUCUAAGGUAAUAAAUUCUAAUGUACCUACUAGUAAAUCUUAUUCGACAUUUCAUAAAUUUUUCUGCAGCAAAAUAUUGUUAGAGUACUCGAAGCAAGUGAUGAAUUUAGGUUGCUUAUUGCUUGAAUUGCUGUCAGAGGGUCUUGGACUCGAUCCAAGCUACCUAGAAGGCAUUGAUUGUGGAAAGGGGCUUGCUGUCCUAUGCCAUUACUAUCCGGCAUGCCCCCAACCAGAACUUACCUUUGGCACCAGCCCGCAUUCAGACAAUGACUCCUUCACAAUCCUUCUCCAAGACAAUUUAGGUGGCCUCCAGGUACUUCAUCAGAAUCAGUGGGUUGAUGUUCCUCCAACACCUGGAGCUUUAGUAAUCAACAUUGGAGAUCUUCUACAGGCAAGCCUUUGAUUUAUUGAUUUUCCAACACUUUUGGAAUGCAUAAACAAUCUUUGUUAUCUGGAGAUUUUCUGGAGGUUGUUUUGAAGUAUUUUUGGUUUUGAUUUCAUUUGGCUUAUUAAAUUUCAGAUUAUAUCAAAUGACAAAUACAAAAGCAGUGAACAUAGAGUUCUGGCGAACCGUGUUGGUCCUAGGGUGUCAAUCGCGAGCUUCUUCACACCUGAUGUAAGGGCAACUGGGAAGCUUUAUGGACCCAUCAAGGAGUUGUUAUCAGAAGAAAAUCCGCCAAAGUACCGCGAAACCACAGCAAAGGAAUAUACAGAUUACUCCCGUGCCAAAGGGCUUGAUGGAACUUCUUCUCUGUUGCAUUUCAAGCUCUGAGCUUGCAAACAGGAUAGUAAAGACUAGCCUGUAAAUCUGUAAUAAAAACAACUAUUCAGGAGGCCAUAACUCAUAUUUGGAGUUUAUAUGCUCCUGUUGAAUGUAUUGCAUGCUUUCCAAAAUGUGAAGGAUUCUGGCAAACUACAUUUUGAUUUGUGAAAACCGUGUGCAUUAUGAUGUUUAAUGAUUGGCAUAUCAUUUCUCGGAAUUGUCCAUGUCCAUUUCCUUUUUCAGACAAAGUGUUAUGUGAACUCUUUAAGGAAGUUUCAAAGUAUAGCACGGUGCUGUAAUAUCCUCUAGAAUCAAUGCCAAAAGCCAAUGAUGUGGAGCAACUACUAGGCUAAAAUGCUCAACCACCAGUAAUUUCACACUGCAGGACCUUCUGCUCUACAAGAUUUCGGACUUUGGAAAUUGGAACCUUAACAAAUUUCUGCGAAUAAUUAGAAGAUUAUGUAUGCUUUAACUAUUUCUAGGGCCUACAGGCUACCUGCAGCAUGAAAUUGUUUCCACAAACAUUUACCUUUAUUCCCAAAUUGGAUGCCUCGUAUUAGUGAUCUUUUCCACUGAAACUGUCUCAACUGAAAAAUUUUUCUUUCUCAAAGAAAAACACAGACAUACCAAUAUUGUGUGGCUAAAAUCCUUCAAGAUGGCGGUCACAUUAUGUAUAUGCUGCAUUAGUUGGACUAAUCCUAGAGACGGGAUGAUUAUGACUUUUCAAGUUACUUUCACACAUAUUUGCUUUCUUAAUCAGUCUUUCUAAACUUCUAACUUGUUUUUAAUCAGAUCCUUUAUCUUACCACAAAAAAAAAAAAUGAAAGAAUAAAAAAAAUAAAAAUUAAAUGUCCUGUUGCUUUCUGCUUUUAAGCACCUAAAAUUGGAGCUAUUUCAAAAUUUGACAUCUUCUAUUGUAAGUGUGUAUGUAAAUGUGUACUUUUUUUAUGUUCUACAAACAAUAAUAUCUAUUUGGGAUAAUUUUAAAAACCUCCCCUGAGAUUUCUAACAAUUUCACUAGCCUCCCUUAAAGUUUACAAAAUUACACAAACCUCCCCUGAAAUUAAGGUUUUGAUAACAAAAUUAGUCCAAUUAGAAAAAGCAACAUUAAAAAGGUAUUUUAAGAAGAGAGAUGAACCUUUUAUUUCAUAAGCACCCCUUUUACAUGUAUAUAAGUUGUAUUAUUAAAAGAAUAAAAAUAGUUAAAAGUUAGAAACAAUUAAUAUACACAUUUCAUCACUCAAAAAGUUCACAUUUAAUAAAUUAGACAACACAAAUAAGCAACAAAACUAUACAAUGAUCAUAAGAUUUAGCAAAAUAGAUUAGUCAUCUCUUUUAGCAUGAUUUUUGUUAUGAUUCUUGUGAUUUUGAACAAAAAAAUUUUCAAAUUUUGUCUUCUUUUCCCUCCUUUCUUAUUUACUUCCACGAAAUUAUUUUACAACUAUUACAGUUUCAAGAGUUUCAAAGAAAAUAUCCUUAUGAACAACAUUCUUUUGCCCUAUAUUUUUUUCUUCUACCAAAAGCCUUCUUCUCACAUUGCGUAUAACUAAUUUUUGGUUAUUGUCAAAUUCUAUUAAUCACAAAAUAGCACCAUUAGUUAUAUCAAUUGGUGUUAUUUUAUAAUUGCAAGUCAUCUUCAUCAUUACAGAAAUUUUCAACAAUUUUUUUCAUUAAUUAGUUAUUAAUAGUUAAUUAAUAUUCUAAUUACUUAAUCGUCAGAUAUUAUUAAAGAAGAAAGGAGGGAAAACAAAAGCAAAAAUUUGAAAAAUUUUUCUAUUCAAAAUCAUAAGAAUUAUAGCGAACAUCAUGUCAAAAAAGAUGACUAAUUUGUAUUGUUGAAUCUUGUGAUAAUUCGUGUAGUUUUGUUGCUUCUUUAUGUUGUUUAAUUUAUUGAAUGUGAAUUUUUUAAGUGGUAAAACGUGUUUAUUAAUUGUUUCUAACUUUUAAUUAGUUUUCAUUUUUUUACUAAUACAACUUAUAUACAUGCAUAAAGGAUAUUUAUGGAAUAAAAGUUUCAUCUCCUUGUUUAAAGUACAUUUUUAAUGUUGUUUUUUCUAAUUAGACUAAUUUUGUUAUCAAAACAUUAACCUUAGGGGAGGUUUGAGCAAUUUUGCAAACUUUAGGGGAGAAUAGUGAAAUUGUUAGAAACCUUAGGGGAGGCUUCUGAAAUUAUCCCUAUCUAUUUUGGUUGAACUUGUGGAUGCUAGGUUAACCAAUCAUUAAGAUAAUAACAAGUCUCUCUCCUUAUAGUCUUCCACUUGUCCUUUAUUACGAGCUUCUGAAAGUUUGAGAUACUCCAGCUACCUAGAACAGUUAGAAUAGAAAUAUGGUGGCUACCAGUAAAGGUGAAGUUGAUCAGGUUGCAGAAGUAGAACCACAUUAUGAUCGACAGAGUGAACUACAAGCAUUUGAUGAAACCAAGGCUGGUGUUAAAGGGCUUGUUGAUGCUGGCAUUACCAAGGUGCCUCGGAUAUUCAUUCAACCGCAAUGUAGCUUAGAUGACGGUCUCAAUGGCACCAAAGGAAUCUUCAAAUUUCCUGUCAUCGAUCUGGA
RNAcentral lists this long non-coding RNA (7198 nucleotides) under Coffea arabica (coffee). Its description in RNAcentral is "long non-coding RNA (CARA_LNC002101)". The record is from RNAcentral. Lineage: Eukaryota; Viridiplantae; Streptophyta; Magnoliopsida; Gentianales; Rubiaceae.